This 483-nucleotide long non-coding RNA is filed under the name Pogona vitticeps (central bearded dragon). RNAcentral's name for it is "lncRNA (ENSPVIG00000015169.1)". The record is from RNAcentral. Lineage: Eukaryota; Metazoa; Chordata; Lepidosauria; Squamata; Agamidae.
GGCAGAGGAGAAGAAGAUUGGCGGGCGCGGAGAGAGAGAAGGUUUCGCUGUUGCAGGGAACUCGUCGCCGACUGUAGCGGGCGACAGGCCUCCUGCCACGGGCUGCAGUUUAACCUUUGUGUGCCUGAAGCGCUGAGAGAGAAGCGCGAGGUGCUGGAAAUACCCCUUUUGCUGCUGCAGGAAAAAGACCGUUCUGAGGGGAAAGUGCUUUGUCUAAGGGGAAAUCCAGCCCGACUAAAUUCUGAUGCCAGUGUUUCUUCAAGCAGUUCAUCUUGCUGUUCUGAACCCUUGACCUACUCAGACCAAGACAAACACCUCCACGGUACUGUGGCUCUAUUAAUAUUAUUAGCUAUAACUCAAAAAAAGUUGAGUGUGCUUAUGAGAGUCAUUUGUACCAGUGUUCUCAGUGGUGCAUUUAAUUUCCAUACAUUUUCAAUGAGACUUAAGCAUGCUUUGUUUUCUCUGGUACUUUCACUUCAUUAA